This 253-nucleotide ribosomal RNA is filed under the name uncultured bacterium. RNAcentral describes it as "partial 16S ribosomal RNA". It matches the Rfam family "Bacterial small subunit ribosomal RNA", at positions 524 to 776 of the family's 1533-position model. The record is from RNAcentral. RNAcentral also lists the same sequence under 2 other names.
UACGAAGGGGGCUAGCGUUGCUCGGAAUCACUGGGCGUAAAGCGCACGUAGGCGGAUUGUUAAGUCAGGGGUGAAAUCCUGGAGCUCAACUCCAGAACUGCCUUUGAUACUGGCGAUCUUGAGUCCGGGAGAGGUGAGUGGAACUGCGAGUGUAGAGGUGAAAUUCGUAGAUAUUCGCAAGAACACCAGUGGCGAAGGCGGCUCACUGGCCCGGUACUGACGCUGAGGUGCGAAAGCGUGGGGAGCAAACAGG